RNAcentral lists this ribosomal RNA (1446 nucleotides) under uncultured organism. RNAcentral describes it as "16S ribosomal RNA". It matches the Rfam family "Bacterial small subunit ribosomal RNA". The record is from RNAcentral.
AACGCUGGCGGAACGCUUUACACAUGCAAGUCGAACGUUAACGCGGGGAGGAGCUUGCUCCGCCCCGACGACGAGUGGCGAACGGGUGAGUAAUACAUCGGAACGUGUCCGCUUGUGGGGGACAACCAGCCGAAAGGUUGGCUAAUACCGCAUGAGUUCUACGGAAGAAAGAGGGGGACCCGCAAGGGCCUCUCGCGAGCGGAGCGGCCGAUGACUGAUUAGCCUGUUGGUGAGGUAACGGCUCACCAAAGCAACGAUCAGUAGCUGGUCUGAGAGGACGACCAGCCACACUGGGACUGAGACACGGCCCAGACUCCUACGGGAGGCAGCAGUGGGGAAUUUUGGACAAUGGGCGCAAGCCUGAUCCAGCUAUUCCGCGUGUGGGAUGAAGGCCCUCGGGUUGUAAACCACUUUUGUAGAGAACGAAAAGACAUCUUCGAAUAAAGGAUGUUGCUGACGGUACUCUAAGAAUAAGCACCGGCUAACUACGUGCCAGCAGCCGCGGUAAUACGUAGGGUGCGAGCGUUAAUCGGAAUUACUGGGCGUAAAGGGUGCGCAGGCGGUUGAGUAAGACAGAUGUGAAAUCCCCGAGCUUAACUCGGGAAUGGCAUAUGUGACUGCUCGACUAGAGUGUGUCAGAGGGAGGUGGAAUUCCACGUGUAGCAGUGAAAUGCGUAGAUAUGUGGAAGAACACCGAUGGCGAAGGCAGCCUCCUGGGACAUAACUGACGCUCAAGCACGAAAGCGGGGGGAGCAAACAGGAUUAGAUACCCCUGGUAGUCCACGCCCUAAACGAUGUUAACUAGUUGUUGGGGAUGUAAUAAUUUCAGUAACGCAGCCAACGCGAGAAGUUAACCUCCUGGGAAGUACGGUCGCAAGACUAAAACUCAAAGGAAUUGACGGGGACCCGCACAAGCGGUGGAUGAUGUGGAUUAAUUCGAUGCAACGCGAAAAACCUUACCUACCCUUGACAUGUCAGGAAGCUCUUGUAAUGAGAGCGUGCCCGCAAGGGAGCCUGAACACAGGUGCUGCAUGGCUGUCGUCAGCUCGUGUCGUGAGAUGUUGGGUUAAGUCCCGCAACGAGCGCAACCCUUGUCACUAGUUGGUACGAAAGGGCACUCUAGUGAGACUGCCGGUGACAAACCGGAGGAAGGUGGGGAUGACGUCAAGUCCUCAUGGCCCUUAUGGGUAGGGCUUCACACGUCAUACAAUGGUCGGAACAGAGGGCAGCGAAGCCGUGAGGCGGAGCCAAUCCCAGAAAACCGAUCGUAGUCCGGAUUGCAGUCUGCAACUCGACUGCAUGAAGUCGGAAUCGCUAGUAAUCGCGGAUCAGCAUGCCGCGGUGAAUACGUUCCCGGGUCUUGUACACACCGCCCGUCAAACAAUGGGAGUGGUGUUUACCAGAAGUCGUUAGCCUAACCGCAAGGAGGGCGGCGACCACGGUGAG